AAACCAACAGGGAUUGCCUCAGUAGCGGCGAGUGAAGCGGCAAGAGCUCAGAUUUGAAAUCGUGCUUUGCGGCACGAGUUGUAGAUUGCAGGUUGGAGUCUGUGUGGAAGGCGGUGUCCAAGUCCCUUGGAACAGGGCGCCCAGGAGGGUGAGAGCCCCGUGGGAUGCCGGCGGAAGCAGUGAGGCCCUUCUGACGAGUCGAGUUGUUUGGGAAUGCAGCUCCAAGCGGGUGGUAAAUUCCAUCUAAGGCUAAAUACUGGCGAGAGACCGAUAGCGAACAAGUACUGUGAAGGAAAGAUGAAAAGCACUUUGAAAAGAGAGUGAAACAGCACGUGAAAUUGUUGAAAGGGAAGGGUAUUGCGCCCGACAUGGGGAUUGCGCACCGCUGCCUCUCGUGGGCGGCGCUCUGGGCUUUCCCUGGGCCAGCAUCGGUUCUUGCUGCAGGAGAAGGGGUUCUGGAACGUGGCUCUUCGGAGUGUUAUAGCCAGGGCCAGAUGCUGCGUGCGGGGACCGAGGACUGCGGCCGUGUAAGUCACGGAUGCUGGCAGAACGGCGCAACACCGC
Molecule: ribosomal RNA, 564 nt
Filed under: Pichia kudriavzevii
Lineage: Eukaryota; Fungi; Ascomycota; Pichiomycetes; Pichiales; Pichiaceae
Description: eukaryotic LSU rRNA
Rfam family: Eukaryotic large subunit ribosomal RNA
Source: RNAcentral